Molecule: RNA transcript, 1122 nt
Organism: Balaenoptera musculus (blue whale)
Lineage: Eukaryota; Metazoa; Chordata; Mammalia; Artiodactyla; Balaenopteridae
Gene: COMMD6
Gene name: COMM domain containing 6
Exons: 5
Source: RefSeq, a predicted model, not a curated record
GGGUUGGUGGCCCCGGGAGCUUCCACCUGAGUGGCUGGUGGGAUUCCGGGGCGCUGCUAUGGAGGGGUGUAGCGAGCCACAGCUGGAUGCUAAGGCCAAGGUCACCAACCAGCUCAUAGAUUUUCAGUGGAAGCUGGGUAUGGCUGUGAGCUCAGACAGCUGCAGGUCACUUAAGUAUCCUUAUGUUGCAGUGAUACUCAAAGUGGCAGAUCCUUCAGGCCAAGUAAAGAACAAGUCCUUCGAAAUGACAAUUCCGCAGUUUCAGAAUUUCUACAGACAGUUCAAGGAAAUUGCUGCAGUUAUUGAAACUGUGUGAAAACUGAUUACUUGGUUGAUGAAUUGCUACUAUCAUUCUAAAAUCAUGGACUUUACUUUCUGCAACAAAACUGCCUAAGGAUCAAAUGAUAUUUAUUGAAUGAAAAUUACACUUUUGGUUUUCCAUUUUUUUAAACAAUAAAAAAGAAAAUCAGACAAACAGGAAUUACAAAGUGGUGAUCGCUGCACACUUUGUGAAUGUACUAAGAGCCACUGAAUUGGAAACUUUAAAGGGUGAAGAACUCUGUGCUCUCUCCCGUGUUGACUGCUGGAAAUGAAGAGAUCUGAGAUAGGGAAACCAUAAGAUGGAGCCCCUGAAUCACGAUUGGAGGCAAACUCAUAGUAACAGCCUGACUUGCACCAGUGAUGUGAGCUAGAAACAAACAAACAAACUCUUGUUGUGGUAAGCUGAUGAGAUUUUUAGAGUGUUCGUUACAACAGCAAGUGAGCAUAAACUUGAAUAACACAAGAUAUUUGUAUGAAGAUUUUUAUUGUAGCAUUUCCCCAAGUGGUGAAAAGUAAAAUAAAGGGAGCAGUGACUGUCAAUAAAGAAAUGGUUGAAUAAAUUCAUCAUAUCUAUGUUACAGCAUAUCAUAUACCUGCCGUUAUCAAUAUGUAUUAACAAUACAUUUGCUAUUAUCAACACAUAUUGUUUCAUAAAACUGUAAAAUGCACUCAAUAUAUAUUUGAAUUCUUAAUGGAAAAUGAGGAAAAUUAAGGAGAGAUAUUUACCAUGCUGUAAGCAUUGAUGGAGAGGGUAUCUGGAGAGGGAGAGGAAGAGCAGUUAAAAAAAUUUUUUUAAAUCCA